CGCCUGCCCUAUGAGGAUUUAAAUGGCCGCGGUACUUUGACCGUGCAAAGGUAGCAUAAUCAUUAGUUUUUUAAUUGAAAGCUGGUAUGAAAGGUUGGAUGAGAAAAUGACUGUCUCUGUUUAAAUUAGUUAGAAUUUUAUCUUUAAGUAAGAAGGCUUAAAUGAGAGUAGAAGACGAGAAGACCCUAUAGAGUUUUAAUUUGGUUGGGGUGAUUGAAAAAUUGGAAGAACUUUUUUUUUAUUAUAACAUUAAUUUAUGAUUAUUUGAUCCUUAAAUAGAGAUUAUAAGAAAUAAUUACCUUAGGGAUAACAGCGUAAUUUUUUUAAAGAGUUCAAAUCGAAAAAAAAGAUUGCGACCUCGAUGUUGGAUUAAAAUAAAAUUUUGGUGUAGGGGCUAA
RNAcentral lists this ribosomal RNA (398 nucleotides) under Celebia sp. 2 EMC-2007. RNAcentral describes it as "partial 16S ribosomal RNA". It matches the Rfam family "Archaeal large subunit ribosomal RNA", at positions 1948 to 2634 of the family's 2987-position model. Lineage: Eukaryota; Metazoa; Arthropoda; Insecta; Coleoptera; Curculionidae. The record is from RNAcentral.